Molecule: ribosomal RNA, 206 nt
Filed under: uncultured bacterium
Lineage: Bacteria
Description: partial 16S ribosomal RNA
Rfam family: Bacterial small subunit ribosomal RNA
Source: RNAcentral
AGCGUAGACGGAUGGACAAGUCUGAUGUGAAAGGCUGGGGCUCAACCCCGGGACUGCAUUGGAAACUGCCCGUCUUGAGUGCCGGAGAGGUAAGCGGAAUUCCUAGUGUAGCGGUGAAAUGCGUAGAUAUUAGGAGGAACAUCGGUGGCGAAGGCGGCUUUCUGGACUGCAACUGACGCUGAGGCUCGAAAGCGUGGGAGCAAACA